GCCUUUGUGCUUUUGGGUUUGUUUGUUGUGUUUGUAGGCCGGUUGGGAAUGUUUCAGAUAUGCUUUCCCUUUGUGGGGAGACCUGAACGCCCCCCUUUUCCCCUCCUCUGGAAUUAAUCCUAUGAGCAUUGCUUUAUGGGGUGUUUUUAUUUAUUUAUUUUUACGUUUUGCUUUUAAAUUUGUUUUCAAUUUGCCAAUUACCUCCCGUUCCUCUUGUUCGAUCAACAGAGACUGAACCGUGAUGCGGGGAUUAUGGAUUCAGCUCAGAUUCACACCCUUUGCUCCCUCUUUCUACUGAAUGCUGAAGCUUGGCCUGUGUUCUCCAUUAUCCACUCCAUUAUGAACUGAAGAAACCGCCCCCCCCAUCCUCUACAAAUGGCUCGUUGUAAGAUUUCGUUAACGCUUUGAAAAGCAGCGAGCGCACGCAAAAGCAAGCGUCCGAGUCGGGGACAAAACGGUUGGUUGCUGUGGAAACCGGGCUAGGGGAGAAAGCGACGCUUGUUUUUUUUUUUUUUCCCCCCCUCUGGCUUGGCGUCUUUGAAGUAAACUUGAACGUGAUGGUAGCCUGGCAACCCCAUUCCAGUCCCGGGACAUUGAUAUUCAGUGCGGGGGUUCGCAUUUGGGAGGGAGGAACAAUGGUGUCCUUAUGAAUAUGUGCCCGUUUCUGUCCAAAGUGGGUGGACAAAAAUGUCCAUGCCUAAAACUGGGACAUUCAACACUGGCCAGCCACAACAUUUUAGAGUCUGAAGGAACUUCAUCUUGGAGCUGUUAUUUAGACCUUCCUAUAAACCCUGUUUAUGUGUACAGUGAGAGGGGAUAGGGAUUGAGUAACGACUGUUGGCAUUAAAUCAUAA
Molecule: long non-coding RNA, 854 nt
Organism: Anguilla anguilla (European eel)
Lineage: Eukaryota; Metazoa; Chordata; Actinopteri; Anguilliformes; Anguillidae
Exons: 3
Source: RefSeq, a predicted model, not a curated record